UGUAAAGUUCAAGCUCCGAUUUGUGAGGGCGAAACCGCGAAUGGCUCAUUAAAUCAGUCAUAAUCUACUUGAUUGUUUAAGUUUAUAUGGAUAACUGUGGUAAUUCUAGAGCUAAUACAUGCGCGAAGGGGGCGACUUUGCGAAAAGAAGCCUUGCGUUUAUUAGACUAAGACCGGCGGACGUCGCAAGACGUUCUCAAUCGGUGGUGACUCUGAGUAAAUAACGGGUGCAAGCCCGUGUUGCCGACCUGGCAUCUAAACGGUCCUCACGGAUCGGCCAGGCGAAUCAAUCGAGUGUCUGCUCUAUCAACUGUGGAUGGUAGGGUAAUUGCCUACCAUGGUGGUGACGGGUAACGGGGAGUUAGGGCUCGACUCCGGAGAACAAGCCUGAGAAACGGCUAGUAGGACUAAGGUCUGCAGCAGGCGCGAAACUUACACAAUGCUAGAUUUCUAAAAAAUAGCGAUGUAGUGAAGAAAAAUAACGAUGUGCUUGCUUUUAAACAAGCUUGCACAAUUGGAAUGAGACGACUCUAAACCGGUCAGUCGAGUAACAAAUGGAGGGCAAGUCUGGUGCCAGCAGCCGCGGUAAUUCCAGCUCCAUUAGCAUACAUUAAAGUUGUUGCGGUUAAAAAGCUCGUAGUUGAAUUUUUAGCGGGUCUCUGGGUGGCGGGGCCGUCAAGGGGUUCAGUAACUUCGGUUCUAGCCCUGGUCUCGUUCGCCGUUGAGGCGCGUUGUUUCGUCACUUAAUCGAGUGCGAAGCGGGUCGGCGAUUGGCUAACUUCGGUUGUCAGCGACGACAUGUUUACCUUGAGAAAAUUAGAGUGCUCAGAGCAGGCAGUUGGGGUGUAAAAGCCCCUUUAUGCUUGAAUAAUGUUGCAUGGAAUAAUAGAAUACGGCCUCGGUUCUAUUCUGUUGGUCUUAUAGAACAACAAACAAGUCGGUUUGGGCGCAAACGGCUUCGAUUUGGUGUGGUCGCUUGUGAGCUUGUUGUCUGGGGCCUUAAAAUCUCAGUACCCUCUUGCAAGUAGCCGUAAAAGCACCUUUUCAAAGUCAGCCCGAUUUCCGGCUGAGGCAAUGGUUAAAAGAAAUAGUCGCGGCGGCAUCAGUACUGCAUCGUGAGAGGUGAAAUUCUUAGACCGAUGCAAGACUAACUGAAGCGAAAGCGUUUGCCGAGGAUAUUUUCAUUAAUCAAGAACGAAAGUUAGAGGUUCGAAGGCGAUCAGAUACCGCCCUAGUUCUAACCAUAAACGUUGCCAACUAGCAAUUGGAUUGCGAUUCCUUUAGUUGGAGCCUAAAAAACUCCAACCAUUAUGAUCCAUCCAGCGGCUCUCGUAGGGAAACCAAAGUGUUUGGGUUCCGGGGGAAGUAUGAUUGCAAAGUUGAAACUUAAAGGAAUUGACGGAAGGGCACCACCAGGAGUGGAGCCUGCGGCUUAAUUUGACUCAACACGGGGAAACUUACUAGAUUAGAACUCUGGAAUGAUUGACAGAUUGAUAGCUCUUUCUUGAUUCAGAGGAUGGUGGUGCAUGGCCGUUCUUGAUUCGUAUUCCGAAACGUCUGCCUAAUCGCGAUAACGAGUGAGACCUCUCCACGCAAACUAGUUGCUUGGUGCGCUGUGGGACGCAAAAGUUCGCAGUUGGGUUCUCGUCAGGUGGGGCAACCUGCUUGGCUCCCCAGUUGUGGAUGUCCUCUGCUCGCCAGCAGACUUCUCUGCGGGAUCAUGAGCAAAAAGCUCAGAGAGACGAGGCAAUAACAGGUCUGUGAUGCCCUUAGAUAUUCUAGGCCGCACGCGUGCUACAAUGGCGUGUGCAGAAAGCUUGUUCGAGCUUCGUCCAUAGACGGCUAGUCGUUUGGGCUGGAUGGGGGCAACCUUGUUUAGUUCGGCGGCCAAGUGGCUACGGUAACGGGGCGAGAGAAACCGCAGUCGAGAGAUUGCGGCAAUCAUAAAUACACGCCGUGAUUUGGGAUUGGGGAUUGCAAUUGUUGCCCAUGAACGAGGAAUUCCCAGUAAGCGCGAUUCAUCAUAUCGCGCUGAUUACGUCCCUGCCCUUUGUACACACCGCCCGUCGCUACUACCGAUUGGAAGUUUUAGUGAGGCAUCUGGACUUGCUGGCCAGGAGACGGGCAACCGUCUCAGGCCUGGCGGGGAAGUUUGUCGAACUCAAAUUUCUAGAGGAAGUAAAAGUCGUAACAAGGUUUCCGU
RNAcentral lists this ribosomal RNA (2202 nucleotides) under Abacarus sp. AH18 2. RNAcentral's name for it is "partial small subunit ribosomal RNA". It matches the Rfam family "Eukaryotic small subunit ribosomal RNA". The record is from RNAcentral. Lineage: Eukaryota; Metazoa; Arthropoda; Arachnida; Trombidiformes; Eriophyidae.